Molecule: long non-coding RNA, 1512 nt
Organism: Humulus lupulus (European hop)
Lineage: Eukaryota; Viridiplantae; Streptophyta; Magnoliopsida; Rosales; Cannabaceae
Exons: 5
Source: RefSeq, a predicted model, not a curated record
GUUUUUUUAUGAAAUAGAUCACAUGAGGUACUAUUAUAAAAGUAACUGGAAUCUCGUAUUGGUCGUUGGCGCAAUUCUUACUCUUUUGGACUUGACAUUUCUCUUCCUAACAUCUAGUAGAGAUCCGGGUAUUGUUCCUAGAAAUACAAGGCAUCUUGAACCAGAUGAAGCUGAUGUUCCUACACUGUCAACGGAUAAAACUUUAGAGUAAGCAUACUUGAGUCAUGGAGGACCCAAGAACCCUUUCUAGUUAUCAUUCCAAAGCUAAUAAGGAAUUUAUUGGAACGUUAAUAUGUGCCAUAGAAAUUUUGCGAUCAAGCUUGGUGAUUGGGUAAAUAUUAUCACUGGUCAAAAUGGAAACGGUCACAUUACAGGUACUAAAGAAGGCUGGUCGGCAAUCAGAACGUUUGGUGAGCCAUACAGAUUGCAAAUUUGAGAAACCAAUGGAGCAUGAGUGUGUGCAUUUCCAUGAGAUUACAGAAGCUGUUGGGACUGAAGAGGCAAAAGAAGAUGCUAUGUAUGAUAAAGAACUAAAGGAGGCCAUUAGAGGAGUACAGGAUGCUGUGACUGCUAUAAACUAGCAUUUGGAAGAGGUCAGAUAUGAAAUUGUGGCCCUUGAAUAUGAAUGAGUUAAUUUCAUAUUUUGAUUGCUUAAGGAGAUAGUCUCAUAGUUGCCAAACCAGCCCUGCAAAAAUGUAACAGCUAGAAAAAUGUAUAAUUUGCUAAUAACUAUAAAGAUGGUAUUAUUUUUGUGACGGUUUUGCCGUUCCCUAUCCCAUAUUUGCUGUUUUACAUGGUUCUCUGUAGCUCCCACUGUAAACAGCCCAAAUUUCCGUUCAAUUGAUUUAGUCUUUUAACAAGCACCAUUCUGAAGAGUAGUUGGACAUGAGCUUGUGCUUAGAUGAGUUUUUGUUGACCCUCUAGUGUCAUCUGUGGUCUUUAAGCAUUCCUCUAUGAAUUGUAUAUUUGAUCAAUUUCCCACUUUAAAACUCAGUGCCCUUUUUCACUUUGAUAAGUUUGACUCUUUUAUUUUUAUUUUUAUGGAUGACUUUGAAUAUCUUCUAAGUAACUAGUAAGUAUAUUUUGAAUAUCUUCGAAUGAGUAAAGGAGUAUGGUUUGUGAGAAACUAGAUGUGCUUAGAUAAUACUAUUCCCACCAUGUUUGGAGUGCUGGAGUAAUUCUUUACAUUCUGUUAAGUGGAGUGCCUCCAUUUUGGGCUGAGAGCGAGCAAGGGAUAUAUGAAGAAGUAUUACAUGGUGACCUAGACUUUUCAACAGACCCAUGGCCUAGUAUUUCUGAAGGUGCCAAAGAUUUAGUAAGGAAAAUGCUUAUUCGAGAUCCCAAAAGGCGGAUAUCUGCACAUGAUGUUUUGUGUUUGGAAGUAUUUUUGCUUCAUAUGUUCAGAGUGGACUGCAGGAAUUAAUGUAUUAGCAGGAUUUUUGAUGUGUGGAAAAGGUAGAAAGAAGUUCAUGAAAAACUUGGUAAUGUACGGAUGUAAGUAGGGGAUGGAGU